Molecule: transfer RNA, 69 nt
Filed under: Podarcis lilfordi (Lilford's wall lizard)
Lineage: Eukaryota; Metazoa; Chordata; Lepidosauria; Squamata; Lacertidae
Rfam family: tRNA
About the family: Transfer RNA (tRNA) molecules are approximately 80 nucleotides in length. Their secondary structure includes four short double-helical elements and three loops (D, anti-codon, and T loops).
Source: Rfam by way of RNAcentral
AAGGCUGUAGCUUAGUGGAAGAUCAUCUGCUUUGCAAGCAGAAGGUCACAGGUUCAAUCCCCAGCCUCU